RNAcentral lists this ribosomal RNA (242 nucleotides) under uncultured Lachnospiraceae bacterium. Its description in RNAcentral is "partial 16S ribosomal RNA". It matches the Rfam family "Bacterial small subunit ribosomal RNA", at positions 97 to 339 of the family's 1533-position model. Lineage: Bacteria; Bacillati; Bacillota; Clostridia; Lachnospirales; Lachnospiraceae. The record is from RNAcentral.
GGGGGACGGGUGAGUAACGCGUGGGUAACCUGCCUCAUACAGGGGAAUAGCAGCUGGAAACGGCUGAUAAAACCGCAUAAGCGCACAGUGCCGCAUGGCACAGUGUGAAAAACUCCGGUGGUAUGAGAUGGACCCGCGUCUGAUUAGCUGGUUGGCGGGGUAACGGCCCACCAAGGCGACGAUCAGUAGCCGGCCUGAGAGGGUGAUCGGCCACAUUGGGACUGAGACACGGCCCAAACUCC